This 21-nucleotide unclassified non-coding RNA is filed under the name Chlamydomonas reinhardtii. RNAcentral's name for it is "small RNA Cre_2718". Lineage: Eukaryota; Viridiplantae; Chlorophyta; Chlorophyceae; Chlamydomonadales; Chlamydomonadaceae. The record is from RNAcentral.
UCGGUAGUCUCGCUGGGUGAG